This 408-nucleotide ribosomal RNA is filed under the name Triticum aestivum (bread wheat). RNAcentral's name for it is "partial small subunit ribosomal RNA". The record is from RNAcentral. Lineage: Eukaryota; Viridiplantae; Streptophyta; Magnoliopsida; Poales; Poaceae.
CAGCAGGGUGAUCAGGUUGGGGGGCUGGUGUCGACCAUAUGGACCAACGACACCCACAACAUGUACAUCAGCUCCAUGGAGGCGUCCUUCAUGCAGCAGCUCUAUGGCCAGUAGCAGCACCACCACCACGCCACUCCCGGCAGGAGCAUGAUCCAUGUGGGUAGUGGCCAUGGAGCCUCUGAUAACCUCGGGUCUAAGAAGAACGUGCCUCGCCCGCGUGAUGUUGGUGCACGAGGCCUGCCCGAGGAUCUAUGGGCGAGGUAUUUCAAGCUGCGUGAUUCCGCUAUGAAUCGUUGUGGUGAUGGGAUUGGUGCUUCCGAUGGUGAAUCGGGCACCGAUACAGUUCAAGCGAUGGCUCCGAAGCAUGGAAUAGGAGUGAGCACUUGCGUCAGAGGAAAAUCCUAUUGA